Molecule: ribosomal RNA, 496 nt
Filed under: uncultured bacterium
Lineage: Bacteria
Description: bacterial SSU rRNA
Rfam family: Bacterial small subunit ribosomal RNA
Source: RNAcentral
GAACGCUAGCUACAGGCUUAACACAUGCAAGCGAGGGGCAUCAGGAAUCUAGCUUGCUAGGUUGCUGGCGACCGGCGCACGGGUGAGUAACGCGUAUCCAACCUUCCCCUUAGUAGGGCAUAGCCCGGCGAAAGUCGGAUUAAUACCCUAUGUUCUUUACGGCAGACAUCUAAUGUAAAGCAAAGAUUCAUCGCUAAGGGAUGGGGAUGCGUCCGAUUAGGUAGUCGGCGGGGUAACGGCCCACCGAGCCUUCGAUCGGUAGGGGUUCUGAGAGGAAGGUCCCCCACAUUGGAACUGAGACACGGUCCAAACUCCUACGGGAGGCAGCAGUGAGGAAUAUUGGUCAAUGGACGUAGGUCUGAACCAGCCAAGUAGCGUGCAGGAUGACGGCCCUAUGGGUUGUAAGCUGCUUUUGCCGGGGAAUAAAGUGCGGUACGUGUGCCGUUUUGUAUGUACCCGGAGAAUAAGGACCGGCUAAUUCCGUGCCAGCAGCGGC